RNAcentral lists this ribosomal RNA (325 nucleotides) under uncultured eukaryote. RNAcentral's name for it is "partial 18S ribosomal RNA". It matches the Rfam family "Eukaryotic small subunit ribosomal RNA", at positions 1470 to 1796 of the family's 1831-position model. The record is from RNAcentral.
CCCUUAGAUGUCCUGGGCCGCACGCGCGCUACACUGAUGCAUUCAACGAGUUUUACCUUGGCCGAGAGGCCUGGGCAAUCUUUUAAACCUGCAUCGUGAUAGGGAUAGAUUAUUGCAAUUUUUAAUCUUGAACGAGGAAUUCCUAGUAAACGCAAAUCAUCAAUUUGCAUUGAUUACGUCCCUGCCCUUUGUACACACCGCCCGUCGCACCUACCGAUUGAAUGGUCCGGUGAAGCCUCGGGAUUGUGGCCAGUUCACUUUAUUGGGAGUUGGCUGUGAGAACUUGUCUAAACCUUAUCAUUUAGAGGAAGGUGAGGUCGUAACA